Molecule: ribosomal RNA, 460 nt
Filed under: uncultured bacterium
Lineage: Bacteria
Description: partial 16S ribosomal RNA
Rfam family: Bacterial small subunit ribosomal RNA
Source: RNAcentral
CCUACGGGUGGCUGCAGUGAGGAAUAUUGGUCAAUGGCCGAGAGGCUGAACCAGCCAAGUCGCGUGAGGGAAGACGGCCCUACGGGUUGUAAACCUCUUUUGUCGGGGAGCAAAGCGAACCACGUGUGGUUCAUUGAGAGUACCCGAAGAAAAAGCAUCGGCUAACUCCGUGCCAGCAGCCGCGGUAAUACGGAGGAUGCGAGCGUUAUCCGGAUUUAUUGGGUGUAAAGGGUGCGCAGGCGGAGGUGCAAGUCAGCGGUCAAAGUGCGGGGCUCAACCCCGGGACUGCGUUUGGAACUGCGCGGCUGGAGUGCGGGAGAGGCAGGCGGAAGUCCUGGUGUAGCGGUGAAAUGCGUAGAUAGCAGGAGGAACACCGGUGGCGAAGGCGGCCUGCUGGACUGCGACUGACGUUGAGGCCCGAAAGCGUGGGGAGCAAACAGGAUUAGAUACCCCAGUAGUC